This 446-nucleotide ribosomal RNA is filed under the name uncultured bacterium. Its description in RNAcentral is "partial 16S ribosomal RNA". It matches the Rfam family "Bacterial small subunit ribosomal RNA", at positions 354 to 796 of the family's 1533-position model. The record is from RNAcentral.
GUAGGGAAUAUUGGACAAUGGGCGGAACCCUGAUCCAGCCAUGCCGCGUGGGGGAAGACUGCCCUCUGGGUUGUAAACUCCUUUUAUAUGGGAAGAACCGUCCUCAUUAAUGAGUGACCUGACGGUACCAUAGGAAUAAGCACCGGCUAACUCCGUGCCAGCAGCCGCGGUAAUACGGAGGGUGCAAGCGUUAUCCGGAUUCACUGGGUUUAAAGGGUGCGUAGGCGGAUAAAUAAGUCAGUGGUGAAAUCAACGGGCUCAACCUGUUAACUGCCAUUGAUACUGUGUAUCUUGAAUAUGAGAGAGGUAGGCGGAAUGUUGCAUGUAGCGGUGAAAUGCUUAGAUAUGCUACGGAACACCGAUUGCGAAGGCAGCUUACUAUUUCGUAAUUGACGCUGAGGCACGAAAGCGUGGGUAGCGAACAGGAUUAGAUACCCGAGUAGUCC